Molecule: long non-coding RNA, 2663 nt
Filed under: Lynx pardinus (Iberian lynx)
Lineage: Eukaryota; Metazoa; Chordata; Mammalia; Carnivora; Felidae
Source: RNAcentral
CCGGGCAUGAGCAGGGGAGGGGCAGAAAGAGAGAGGGAGACAGAAUCCGAAGCGGGCUCCAGGCUCCGAGCUGUCAGCACAGAGUCCGACGUGGGGCCCGAGCCCACAAACCGCGAGAUCGUGACCUGAGCCGAAGGCAGGCACUUAACUAACUGAGCCCCCCAGGUGCCCCUUGCCCAGGGUUUUCAUACAAGCUUGCAGAUCAAAAGAACAAAAAAGAUUUUGCUCUAUGUACUCUUCUCUAAUCUGAUUUCACUUAACGAAACACCUAUUUCCAUGUGAAAUCAGCCCAGCUGUGUCCAGCUCCCUGUCUGGAACCGUUCUCGGAGAAGCCGGCCUGCUCUGACACCGCGGUGGGUCCCUCCGGUCAUUUCAUCAGAAAACAUGCUUAGCAGUGGAAUUUUUUUAAUUGAAGAUUUUAUGGAGAUAGUUACAGACUCCUACGCGAUUCCAGGAAAUAAUGCUGAAGGACCCCUGGUACAGGUGAGCUAGACCUACCCAAUGGUAACUAACGUUCUUUAAAAGGAUAGCGGGAGAAUCACAGCCAGAAUAGUGACGCUGAUAUGGUUCACUGACUUUGUUCCAAUUUCCCCAGUUUUACUUGUCCUAAUGUAUGCAUCAAAUUCUGUACGUUUAUUUUUAUUUUUUUUAAUAUUUAUUUCUGAGAGACAGAGUGAGACAGAGCAUGAGCAGGGAAGGGACAGAGAGAGAGAGACAGAAUCUGAAGCCAGCUCCAGGCUCUGAGCUGUCAGCACAGAGCCCAACACGGGGCUCGAACUCAUGAACCGUGAGAUCAUGACCUGAGCCGAAGUUGGACGCUCAACCGACCGAGCCACCCAGGCACCUCUUACUUCCCCGUUUUAAAAGUUGUAUUUAGUUGGAUGUACAGAGAGAGAUGAGUCCACAUCAUCUACUCUUGAACCAGAAGUCCCUGGUGUUAUUUUUUCGUUUUACUUAUGUAACUAUUUCUUCAAUGUAUUUUUACAACCGCUUUUUUAAGAUAUAAUUCACAUACCAUACAAUUCACUCAUUUAAAAUGUACAAUUUAAAGGUUUGUAGUGUAUGUGUGGGGUUGUGAAACCCGCACCACUCAAUCUUAGAACACCAUCAUCCCCAAAGAAACCCCAUACCCAUUAAAAGUCAGUCCCCAUUUCUUCCUCCCCUGAGGCCCGACAACCACAGAUAUGCUUUCUGUGUCUAUAGAUUGGCCUAUCAUUGACAUUUCACAUAAAUGGAAUCAUUCAAUAUGUGGCCUGUGGGCAUCUUUCCUUUGCGUAAUGUUUUCAAGAUUCAUCCAUGUAAUUUCAGUACUUUGUUCCUUUGUUUGUGGACACAUAACAUUUUAUCUGUCUGUUCAUCAGUUGAUGGCCAUUUGGUUUAUUUUCACUUACUGACUAUCGUGAAUAACAUUGCUGUGAAUCUCCCUGUACAAGUUUCUGUGUGGACAUGUGUUCUCAUUUCUCUGGCGUGUAUGGCCAGGAGUGGAAUUUCUGGGUCAUAUGGUAACUCUCAGUUUAGCAUUUUGAGAAACUGUGUCCAACUGUCUUCCAAAGCGGAUGUACCUUUUUGCAUUUCCUCCAGCAACAUGUGAUGGUUAGUUUCCCCAUAUUCUCACCAACACUUGCUAUUAGUUGACUUUCUUUUUUAAAAUUUUUUACUUGGGAGAGAGAGAGAGAGAGAGAGAGAGAGAGCGAGAGCAUGUGUGAGCGGGGGAGAGGAGCAGAGGGAGAGAGAGAGAAUCCCAAGCAGGCUCCAUGGUCCCACGGCCAUGAAAUCAUGACCUGAGCUGGAACCAAGAGUUGGAUGCUUAACCAACCGAGCAAUCCAGGCGCCCCAUUAUCUGACUUUUUGAUUCCAGCCAUCCUAGUGGGUAUGAAGUGGUUUCUCUCUGUGGUUUUGAUUUGCAUGUCCCAAAAGACCAAUGAUGCUGAACAUUUUUUCAUUUGCUUAUCGGUCAUUUGUGUAUCUUCUUUGAAGAAGUGUCUAUUCAAGUUCUUUACCCAUUUUUAAUCUGGUUGUUUUUUUUUGUUUUGUUUUUUGUUUUUUUGUUUUUUUGGUUGUUGAGGACUUUGGCUUUUAUUUUGAGAGAGAUGCGGAGCCGCUGGAAAGUUCUAAGCACAGAAGUGGCAGUAUCACUUGUGCUGCUGUGUAGAGAAAAAGUACACAGUUUCACAGGCAAAACAGACACUAGUUAAGAUACUGAGAUAAUCCAGGUGUGAGAUAAUAGUGACUGGCCCUGGCAUAGUAACAGGAAGUCAUGACACAGGGCCGGUUCCAGACACAUUUUGAAGGGAGGGCCAACAAGAUUUGCUAAUGGGUCCGAUGUGCCCAGUAAGGCAAUGCCUCUCACGCAGGAGACGUGGGGCUACCCUUUACUGAGAAGGUGGAUUAGUAUCCUGUGGCUGCCACAAACUGGGUGACUUAAAAUAACAGAAAUGUAUUGUCUCGUAGAUUAGAAGCCAGCACUCCCUCUGAAACCUGCGGGGCGGGAUCCUCCCCGGCCUCUUCCGGCUUCCAGUGACUGUGAGUCUUGGCGUUCCUUGGGCUUACAGCUCCAUCUAUCCAGUUUCUGCCUCUGUCUACAUGGCCUUCUCAUGGCCUGGUUCCAAACUUCCCUCUUCCCAUUUUGACACCAGUCAUUGGAUAAGGACCCACCCCAGUGA